This 822-nucleotide ribosomal RNA is filed under the name uncultured bacterium. RNAcentral's name for it is "bacterial SSU rRNA". It matches the Rfam family "Bacterial small subunit ribosomal RNA", at positions 35 to 847 of the family's 1533-position model. The record is from RNAcentral.
GCUAGCUACAGGCUUAACACAUGCAAGUCGAGGGGAAACGACAUCGAAAGCUUGCUUUUGAUGGGCGUCGACCGGCGCACGGGUGAGUAACGCGUAUCCAACCUGCCCACCACUUGGGGAUAACCUUGCGAAAGUAAGACUAAUACCCAAUGAUAUCUCUAGAAGACAUCUGAAAGAGAUUAAAGAUUUAUCGGUGAUGGAUGGGGAUGCGUCUGAUUAGCUUGUUGGCGGGGUAACGGCCCACCAAGGCGACGAUCAGUAGGGGUUCUGAGAGGAAGGUCCCCCACAUUGGAACUGAGACACGGUCCAAACUCCUACGGGAGGCAGCAGUGAGGAAUAUUGGUCAAUGGGCGAGAGCCUGAACCAGCCAAGUAGCGUGCAGGAUGACGGCCCUAUGGGUUGUAAACUGCUUUUAUAAGGGAAUAAAGUGAGUCUCGUGAGACUUUUUGCAUGUACCUUAUGAAUAAGGACCGGCUAAUUCCGUGCCAGCAGCCGCGGUAAUACGGAAGGUCCGGGCGUUAUCCGGAUUUAUUGGGUUUAAAGGGAGCGUAGGCCGGAGAUUAAGCGUGUUGUGAAAUGUAGACGCUCAACGUCUGCACUGCAGCGCGAAUUGGUUUCCUUGAGUACGCACAAAGUGGGCGGAAUUCGUGGUGUAGCGGUGAAAUGCUUAGAUAUCACGAAGAACUCCGAUUGCGAAGGCAGCUCACUGGAGCGCAACUGACGCUGAAGCUCGAAAGUGCGGGUAUCGAACAGGAUUAGAUACCCUGGUAGUCCGCACGGUAAACGAUGGAUGCCCGCUGUUGGUCUGAAUAGGUCAGCGGC